GGAAUAUUGGACAAUGGGCGAAAGCCUGAUCCAGCAAUACCACGUGAGUGAUGAAGGUCUUCGGAUUGUAAAGCUCUUUUAGUAGGGAAUAUAAUGACGGUACCUACAGAAAAAGCCCCGGCUAACUUCGUGCCAGCAGCCGCGGUAAUACGAAGGGUGCUAGCGUUGUUCGGAAUCAUUGGGCGUAAAGCUUGCGUAGGCGGCUUGGCAAGUCAAGUUUGAAAGCCCGGGGCUUAACCUCGGAAUUGCGCUUGAAACUGCUAUGCUAGAGUAUGAAGAGGGAUAGUGGAAUUCCUAGUGUAGGGGUGAAAUCCGUAGAUAUUAGGAGGAACACCGGUGGCGAAAGCGACUAUCUAUAUCAUUACUGACGCUGUUGCACGAAAGCGUGGGGAGCAAAC
Molecule: ribosomal RNA, 398 nt
Filed under: uncultured bacterium
Lineage: Bacteria
Description: bacterial SSU rRNA
Rfam family: Bacterial small subunit ribosomal RNA
Source: RNAcentral